Molecule: transfer RNA, 74 nt
Filed under: Blattella germanica (German cockroach)
Lineage: Eukaryota; Metazoa; Arthropoda; Insecta; Blattodea; Blattellidae
Description: tRNA-Ile (AAT) (tRNA-Ile-AAT-11-1)
Rfam family: tRNA
About the family: Transfer RNA (tRNA) molecules are approximately 80 nucleotides in length. Their secondary structure includes four short double-helical elements and three loops (D, anti-codon, and T loops).
Source: RNAcentral
GGCCCGUUAGCUCAGUUGGUUAGAGCGUGGUGCUAAUAACGCCAAGGUCGUGGGUUCGAUCCCCAAACGGGCCA